Molecule: small nuclear RNA, 279 nt
Filed under: Notechis scutatus (mainland tiger snake)
Lineage: Eukaryota; Metazoa; Chordata; Lepidosauria; Squamata; Elapidae
Description: 7SK RNA (ENSNSUG00000014370.1)
Rfam family: 7SK RNA
About the family: 7SK was discovered as an abundant small nuclear RNA in the mid-70s but a possible function has only recently been suggested.
Source: Rfam by way of RNAcentral
AGAUGUGAGGAUAAUCUGUCAGUGACGCCUUUAUCCUAUUGAUAACCAGGGUUGGUUCAGUGAAUCUAGCUCACUAGGUGGAUGUCCCCUUCCUUCUUUGGUACUCCAUGUGCAUCCCACCUGAAGUUUCAUUGUGAAUGGAAGAAGACAACCACCCCAGAUGGAUUUUGUUAUGAACUAAUAUAAACGUAAUUAAUAAAGCUUGACAACCUUGCUAGAAAAGCAGGCUCGUAAUCCUGCACUUUUGAUUGGCCCGUGAAUAGCGAGCUGGGAUUGGUC